Molecule: ribosomal RNA, 477 nt
Filed under: uncultured Methylophilaceae bacterium
Lineage: Bacteria; Pseudomonadati; Pseudomonadota; Betaproteobacteria; Nitrosomonadales; Methylophilaceae
Description: bacterial SSU rRNA
Rfam family: Bacterial small subunit ribosomal RNA
Source: RNAcentral
GCGGAAUGCUUUACACAUGCAAGUCGAACGGCAGCACGGGUGCUUGCACCUGGUGGCGAGUGGCGAACGGGUGAGUAAUAUAUCGGAACGUAUCCAAUAAUGGGGGAUAACUAACCGAAAGGUUGGCUAAUACCGCAUACGCCCUACGGGGGAAAGCAGGGGAUCUUCGGACCUUGCGUUGAUGGAGCGGCCGAUAUCUGAUUAGCUAGUUGGUGGGGUAAAGGCCCACCAAGGCGACGAUCAGUAGCUGGUCUGAGAGGACGACCAGCCACACUGGAACUGAGACACGGUCCAGACUCCUACGGGAGGCAGCAGUGGGGAAUUUUGGACAAUGGGGGCAACCCUGAUCCAGCCAUUCCGCGUGAGUGAAGAAGCCUUCGGGUUGUAAAGCUCUUUCGCAAGGGAAGAAAACUUAGUCUCUAACAUAGGCUGAGGCUGACGGUACCUUGAUAAGAAGCACCGGCUAACUACGUGCCA